UGCAUUCACUACUGUAAGUUGCUCUGGAUAAGAACGUCUGCUAAAUGGCUAAAA
Molecule: non-coding RNA, 54 nt
Organism: Salmo salar (Atlantic salmon)
Lineage: Eukaryota; Metazoa; Chordata; Actinopteri; Salmoniformes; Salmonidae
Source: Rfam